RNAcentral lists this ribosomal RNA (481 nucleotides) under uncultured bacterium. RNAcentral's name for it is "partial 16S ribosomal RNA". It matches the Rfam family "Bacterial small subunit ribosomal RNA", at positions 28 to 507 of the family's 1533-position model. The record is from RNAcentral.
GAUGAACGCUGGCGGCGUGCUUAACACAUGCAAGUCGAACGAAGCACUUUAUUUGAUUUCCUUCGGGACUGAUUAUUUUGUGACUGAGUGGCGGACGGGUGAGUAACGCGUGGGUAACCUGCCUUGUACAGGGGGAUAACAGUUGGAAACGGCUGCUAAUACCGCAUAAGCGCACAGCAUCGCAUGAUGCAGUGUGAAAAACUCCGGUGGUAUAAGAUGGACCCGCGUUGGAUUAGCUAGUUGGUGAGGUAACGGCCCACCAAGGCGACGAUCCAUAGCCGAGCUGAGAGGGUGACCGGCCACGUUGGGACUGAGACACGGCCCAAACUCCUACGGGAGGCAGCAGUGGGGAAUAUUGCACAAUGGGCGAAAGCCUGAUGCAGCGACGCCGCGUGAGCGAAGAAGUAUUUCGGUAUGUAAAGCUCUAUCAGCAGGGAAGAUAAUGACGGUACCUGACUAAGAAGCACCGGCUAAAUACGUG